UCAACCCCUGUGAACAUACCACUUGUUGCCUCGGCGGAUCAGCCCGCUCCCGGUAAAACGGGACGGCCCGCCAGAGGACCCCUAAACUCUGUUUCUAUAUGUAACUUCUGAGUAAAACCAUAAAUAAAUCAAAACUUUCAACAACGGAUCUCUUGGUUCUGGCAUCGAUGAAGAACGCAGCAAAAUGCGAUAAGUAAUGUGAAUUGCAGAAUUCAGUGAAUCAUCGAAUCUUUGAACGCACAUUGCGCCCGCCAGUAUUCUGGCGGGCAUGCCUGUUCGAGCGUCAUUUCAACCCUCAAGCACAGCUUGGUGUUGGGACUCGCGUUAAUUCGCGUUCCUCAAAUUGAUUGGCGGUCACGUCGAGCUUCCAUAGCGUAGUAGUAAAACCCUCGUUACUGGUAAUCGUCGCGGCCACGCCGUUAAACCCCAACUUCUGAAUGUUGACCUCGGAUCAGGUAGGAAUACCCGCUGAACUUAAGCAUAUCAAA
This 488-nucleotide ribosomal RNA is filed under the name fungal sp. XKGKDF18. Its description in RNAcentral is "eukaryotic LSU rRNA". The stretch from base 133 to 286 matches the Rfam family "5.8S ribosomal RNA". Lineage: Eukaryota; Fungi. The record is from RNAcentral.